ACGCACAGUAUUCUGGGAGGAGUUAGGGAGGCGGGAUUGUAGUUGCUGGCUGUUACCAGGACAACCGGAGGCGAUUGACCGUUAUCUGCGGUUUGCAGCCGUUAGCGGGAGAGGCAGAGAAGUUCAGAGGUCUUUUAGGAUGUGCUAAAGGGUCGUGAGGGCUCUCUCAAGAUUUUCCUCACAAUAGGUUAUCCAGUCGUGCCCCUUGGCCCAGCCGCUGGCCCCGGGGAUCUGAGUCGCACCCUCUUUGUUUUUCUCUGAGUCUGUCUUAAGGUGAAAUGAAGUGUGGCCCAGUGGCUCCUCAUUGUCGCUUCUCUAGUUUUCUGCCUCCUUUUAGAAAAUUGAAUUGAGAAGACAGGAUGAAGUGGACACAGCAUGUGAAGACAAUUCUUUCAAGAAGUUUGGCUGUCAAGGAAAAUAGAGAAUGUGAGUAGCCGAAGGAGAAUGACAGGCGAAAGAAAGAAAUUGGGAGCCAGACAAUACAGCCGGACAGUUUACACCUGUAUUGAUGUCCCACCUUUUUCACAAAAGAUUGAGUAUGCUUGGGGAAAAACUACACACUAUCAUAGGAGAAAAUGAUUGGAAGAGAAACUGAGGCAAAGGUAAAUGGAAAACAAAAUAAAGCCAGGAGUAUGUUAAUACCCCAAAACUUCAUACCAAAAGGUCCAUGUAAUUACUAGAGGGGUGCCACAGAUUGGGCUCUGAGGUUCCUAGCAACUAAACCAAAGGGAAAAUAUAACUUUCACAUGAUCCAUAUGGGGGGGUCUAAUGGCAUAUUAUAGAAUCCUGUUACACAUUAGCUGUAUGAAAUUGAUUGGGUAAUGUAAGCUCUUUAGACCUCUUUUCUCCAUCUCUUAAAGAGUGGGGAGAGGAAGAAGAAGACCGUUAGACGAGUUGAUCUUUUAAUACCUCUUCCACCACUGACAGUCUAUGAUCACACAGGCCAGAGAUGGCAAACUCAAAUGCCUAAAUUAGGGACUAAGAAAGUUUCAUAAGUGAGGAAAUGGACUGAAUGUGACAAAAGCAAGGAGUGAUAGAGAUUAGAAUGGUAGACUUGAUUGAGCUGUCCCAUCUAAAACUCCAGCCAGUUCUUGCAAGAAUAAGGAUUCAGUGUUGCCAGAUAUUCUGAUUUUUCAGGAGAAACAGAAAAAUCAUAUUUGCGAUAAUAUUAUACAAAACAAAACACCUCUACUGGCUAGAUACAAUUCAUGAGUCACUAAUUUUCAACCUCUGCUAUAGGUGAAAGGACCUCAACAAGAGGGAUAAUUGUUUGAAUUAAAGAAUUAAGUAUGAAAAAAGAGGAAGAAGUCAAAAAGAAUACCAAGAUUUCCCCUUGGUAAUAAGGAGGAGGUAGUAACAUUGAUACUAAAAUCAGCAGAAGGUUUGGGGAGAGAAGGUGCUUGAUUGUGAGUUUCUUGAACAUGGGGCAAACUUAUUCAUAUGUAUCCAUAGCACAUGAAUCCAGUUCAGCUGUUGGGUUUGAGAAAUCUGUGGGAUUUAUCAGGGAAAAGGGUGCAGGAAUGUAGGUCAGGAGUUUGGGGAAAGAAGAUGAAAAAGGAGUUUAAGAUGUAAGAUUCAUUCUUUCAAUAAAGUUUUAUUAAUUAUAUAUCACAAUAUGUAUUUUCAUGAGACUCUAAACUGUCUGAGGGCAGAAACCACGGUUUUUUUUAACCACUUACCCAGCACCUAGCACAAUACAGAGUCAGUGCUUAUGUAUGUUGAAUAAACAAAUGAAAAAAUACAAAACACAAUGCUUUACAGUAUAGAAGAUGCAGAGUUGAAUUAGAAAAUCUUAAGGGAACAAGAAACACUGGGGUCUACUUGAGGGUGGAGGGUGGGAGCAUGGAGAGGAGCAGAAAAAAUAUGGGGUACUAGGCUUAAUACGUGGGUGAUGAAAUAAUCUUUACAACAAACCUUCAUGCGUACCCCCAAACCUAAAAUAAAAGUUUUAAAAGAAGAAAAUCUUCUUAAAGAAGUUUAUAGAGCAGGGGCCCCAUCUCCUUAAAAAAAAAAAAAGAAAAAGCGAGUUUAUAGGUCAGAAAGUAAGACAAGUCUUACACAUAAGCAGCUAAUGCAAGUUUUAAAGUAGUGCCAUUUAAAAACAAAAAAGUACCAUGGGAUUCAGAAGGGAAAGAUCUUUUUAGAGGAAGUUAAGAAGUUAAGCUCCAUCUUUCUAGAUAGUGGCAAGUUAAGAUUAGAUCACACAGGUGUUAGGAGAGGAACUGGUCAGAAGCAGUUAAAUAGAAGAUGUAGGCCGGGUGCGGUGGCUCACACCUGUAAUCCCAGCACUUUGGGAGGCUGAGGUACAUGGAUCACUUGAGGUCAGGAAUUCGAGACCAGCCUGGCCAACAUGACAAAACUCUGUCUGUACCAAAAAUACAAAAAUUAGCCGGGUGUGGUGGUGCACACCUGUAAUCCCAGCUACAUGGGAGGUUGAGGCAAGAGAAUCACUUGAGCAGGGGAAGCAGCCACUGCCCUCCAGCCUGGGGGGCAGAGUAAGACUCCAUCUAAAAAAAAAGAAGAAGAAGAAGAAGAAGAUGUAUACCCUUCUUUUGAAAGUAAGUAUUUGAAACUGCCAAAAAAAAAAGAGUGAAUAGUGAAACAGUUUGAAGCCAGAACCUUGAGAAUCACCCACAUAUAAAGAAGGUGAGGAAGAAAAACCAACAAAGUAAACAGAGAAAAAGUCAUCAGAAAGCUAAGAGAAACAUCAGGAGAGUGGGUUUCACAGGAACUAAGAUUCCAGGUUUCAAGAAGGAACGUUCAGUCAAUAUUGUCAAAUACUACAGAGACAGCAAGCCAUCAAGGAGGGUAAAGGCCAUUGGAUUUGAUGAUUAAGGAAAUCACUGAUGACUUUAAACAACUGGCCAAUGAAUAUAAGAAGAGGAGCUUUAAAAAGCAGUAGAAUUGAGAGGCUUGUUGAUUUGUUUAGGGAGGUAGGGAAUUGGGUUCCUUAGGAGCAGGGGGAAAAAAUAGGCAAGAUUAAGCUGCAAAACAGGACAAAUUUAUGAAGCAAGGUUUUGGAGAAUCUAAGUAGUAAUGAGAUCAAGAAAUGAAGGAAGAGUAACAUCAAGAAUAAGCAUUAUAAUUCUAACAAAUAUUGUUCAAUUACAAGUAACUUUUUAAUGUCUAUCAUCAUGUUUUCCUGCCCAGUGGCCUGGUUUCUUUUCACCUUUAGCCCUAAAAUAAAUUCAUAAUCUAAAAAAUAGUAUUAGAACUUCAACUUAGUAAUAUUUCCUAAUGUUGCUUUUAAAUCCUCUUUUUCUAAACAGGUAUUAUCAGCAGGGCGUGGUGGCUCACACCUGUAAUCCCAGCACUUUGGGAGGCCAAGGCAGGCAGAUCAGCUUAGGUCAGGAGUUCAAGACCAGCCUGGCCAACAUGGUAAAACCCUGUCUCUACUAAAAAUACAAAAAUUAGCUGAGUGUGAUGAUGGGCGCCUGUAAUCUCAGCUACUCAGGAGGCUGAGGCAGGAGAAUUGCUUGAACCCAGGAGGCAGAGGUUGCAGUAAGCCAAGAUCGCACCUCUGCACUCCAGCCUGGGCGACAGAGCGAGACUCCAUCUAAUAAAUAAAUAAAUAGGUAUUAUGAUGUAUAAUAAAUAAAUAAAUAGGUAUUAUGGUGUAUAAUUCCUGAUUUUUUGGUUGCUCCAUGUCCCUUUCAGGAAACCACCACUCACCAGCCUUAGCUGGUUCAAGUGGGACUGAUUCCCAACUACCCACCCUGCCCCCAUUCCUACACUUGAUUCAGACCUGACCAAUGAGAAACAUCAUUGGUACUUUUGCUGGCACUAUUUAUUUAAUUUUUGUUUUGUUUUGUUUUGUUUUGUUUGAGACGGAGUUUCACUCUUGUUGCCGAGGCUGGAGUGCAAUGGCGCAAUCUCGGCUCACCGCAAUCUCAGGUCACCGCAACCUCCGCCUCCCAGGUUCAAGUGAUUCUCCUGCCUCAGCCUCCCAAGUAGCUGAGAUUAUAGGCAUGUGCCACCACACCCAGCUAAUUUUUUAUUUUUAGUAAAGACGGGGUUAAUCCAUGUUGGUCAGGCUGGUCUGGAACUCCCGACCUCAGGUGAUCCACCCACCUCAGCCUCCCAAAGUGCUGGGAUUACAGGCGUGAGCCACCGCACCCGGCCCGCUGACACUAUUUUAAAAAAAAAAAGCUUCUCUCCCUCUGAUGUUAUACUGCAGGUGCUAAAGACCAUACAGACACAGAGCAGACAGGCCACCUUUGCUACCACAUGGAGGUUUGUCUAAUAUUGAGGCUAAAGAAGCUGAGCUGGAAGACAGAGAGACCAAAUCCUGAUGACAUUGUUUGAACCCGGAGAUCCGGACAUGCCUGAAGACUAGUUUUACCACUGGACUUAUCUGUUAAAUGAGCCAAUAAACUCUCUUUUAUACUUAA
This 4391-nucleotide long non-coding RNA is filed under the name Macaca fascicularis (crab-eating macaque). RNAcentral's name for it is "lncRNA (ENSMFAG00000060181.1)". Lineage: Eukaryota; Metazoa; Chordata; Mammalia; Primates; Cercopithecidae. The record is from RNAcentral.